GCAGCCGCUCCGCCCGGCGCGCGCGGGGAGGAGGGAGGGGCGGGGGAAGGGAAGGGCGGGGGGAGGGAGGGAAGGGGCAGAGCCAGCCCGCUGCCGCCGCGCUCCUCGCGGGCCGCCCGCCGCCGCCGCCGCCCGCCGCCGCCUCGCCUCGCCGAGCUCUGCUUCCCACCGCCGCCCUCGGCAGCCCAGGGGCGGGCGGUGACGACGGAGCGGGGAGGGGCGGAGGGCGCGCGGCCGCCGCCGGAGCGGUGCUAAGGGCCCGCGCGUGCGCGUGAGCGCAGGGGGCGGGCGCGCGCGGGCUGGCGUCUGGCGGCUCGCGGGCGGUUUGACAUUGCCGCCCUCCGGCGCGGGAGGAGCUACGGGGGCGGGGGCGGGGCUGCGGGAGAAGGCGGGGACCGGGGGGAGGGACUGGCCAAUCGCCACGGUCGCCCUGCUAACCGGAAUUUGGUGACGGCCUGUCACGGAGCGACAGGUAUUUAAAAGGGGCGGGGCGAGGCCCGGCGGCCAAUCGGAGUGACGAAGGAGAAGGCGUGGCAGCGCGCGCGGAGGGGAGACGACUCUCGUCGCCGGGCAUUGGCGGGUCAGGAAAGGGAGGGCGCUGAGUGGCAGCGCUGUGAACCAAUGGGGGCGGCGCGGCGCCGCGCGGGUCACGGCGGGAGAGGAGCGUCGCCGGCGGCGGCGCUGCAGCGCGCGUGGGCCGGUGCUGCUCCUGGCGUUCCGCGCGGCCUCGCCGCGGGGGCUGCUGGGAGCCGCAGUUCGCCGCGUGCGUGUGGCGCGAGGGGAGCUGCGGCUGCCGCCGCGUGCGCGGCCGUGACGGCACCUGCGGGGUGCUGGGGGCACUGCGUGGCGCGGCUUUCCCCAGCCAGCCCUCUGAGGGCUGCUCGGCCGUCCCCGAGUGCUUCUGCUUGGCUUUCGAGGUGCCCUGCAUUCAGCCCAGAACAGCUUUCUUGUAGGGUAAAGGUGCAACUCAAGGUGACAAUUAAUUUUAGGCAUUUCAAUAAUUAUCCCAAGUUAGUCUGGGAAAAAUCCAGGUUGCUUCAGGAAUUCUCACUGGUAUGAUGAAUCAUUUAUUGCUCUCACUUGAUCUGUAGAUUCACAGCUCAAAUUGGGUUGUGACUUCACUAUUUCACUUUGCUCUGGGCAUACAGCAAGUUGUAUUGGACCACAGUCAAAUGUAAACACAUCAGAAAGUAUAAUAUUUAAAGCAUGAUACAGUGGUUGUGAAAUGGUGCUUAAAUUCUAAAUCAUUGAUUUGCUUUUAUUACAGUUUUAGAAUCUUUAGUGAAUCUCUCAGAUUUCUUAACCUUAACAUCUUCCAGAAGGUUAAGAGUUUUUG
This 1336-nucleotide long non-coding RNA is filed under the name Phasianus colchicus (ring-necked pheasant). RNAcentral describes it as "lncRNA (ENSPCLG00000004094.1)". The record is from RNAcentral. Lineage: Eukaryota; Metazoa; Chordata; Aves; Galliformes; Phasianidae.